Molecule: ribosomal RNA, 496 nt
Filed under: uncultured bacterium
Lineage: Bacteria
Description: partial 16S ribosomal RNA
Rfam family: Bacterial small subunit ribosomal RNA
Source: RNAcentral
AUUGAACGCUGGCGGCAUGCUUUACACAUGCAAGUCGAACGGUAACAGGCCGCAAGGUGCUGACGAGUGGCGAACGGGUGAGUAAUGCAUCGGAACGUGCCCAGUCGUGGGGGAUAACGCAGCGAAAGCUGCGCUAAUACCGCAUACGAUCUAUGGAUGAAGGCGGGGGACCGUAAGGCCUCGCGCGAUUGGAGCGGCCGAUGUCAGAUUAGGUAGUUGGUGGGGUAAAGGCUCAACAAGCCAACGAUCUGUAGCUGGUCUGAGAGGACGACCAGCCACACUGGGACUGACACGGCCCAGACUCCUACGGGAGGCAGAAGUGGGGAAUUUUGGACAAUGGGCGCAAGCCUGAUCCAGCAAUGCCGCGUGCAGGAAGAAGGCCUUCGGGUUGUAAACUGCUUUUGUACGGAACGAAACGGUCCUGGUUAAUACCUGGGGCUAAUGACGGUACCGUAAGAAUAAGCACCGGCUAACUACGUGCCAGCCGCCGCCGUAA